AGCUUUAUGCUCUUAUAUAAAGUAACUCCUGCUCAGUGAAUAUCAACAGCCGCAGAACUUUAUACUGUGCUAAGGUAGCAUAAUCACUUGUCUUUUAAUUAAAGAAUAGAAUGAACGGAAAAACGAAUUUUAACCUAUUUCAUUUAUUUAUAAUAAAAUUACCAAAAAGUAAAAACUCUUUUUUUUAAAAAAAAGACGAUAAGACCCUAAAGAACUUUACUUAAGUUAAGCUGGGGCGGCUUUUUAAAAAAAUCUUAUUCUAAAAUUUCAAAUCCUUCCUCAAUUACACAACGUUACCUUAGGGAUAACAGCAUAAUUUAAUUUUAUAGCUCUUAUUUAAAAUUAAGAUUAUGACCUCGAUGUUGAAUUAAAAAUCUUCUAAACGAAAAAAUCUAGAAAGAAAGUCUGUUCGACUUUUAAUAAAUUACA
RNAcentral lists this ribosomal RNA (429 nucleotides) under Dysdera gibbifera. RNAcentral's name for it is "partial 16S ribosomal RNA". It matches the Rfam family "Bacterial large subunit ribosomal RNA", at positions 1817 to 2600 of the family's 2925-position model. Lineage: Eukaryota; Metazoa; Arthropoda; Arachnida; Araneae; Dysderidae. The record is from RNAcentral.